AGUGGCUCUGUCUCUUCAUCUCCUUCCUCUGUAUCUAUGUUCUGCAAUUUAGAGGGGGAAGUGCUGUUUUUGCAUUGUGUGAGUUGGAGUCCAGCUGUCUGGAAAACAGCUCUGCAGAGAAGGACACCAGGAUUCUGGUGCACAGCAAGUUAAGGAGCCAAUUGUGCACAGCCAAAGGUACUGACAAAUUGGAGCAAAGCCAGAGAAGGCUGCUGGGAUAGACAGGAGCUGGAGCACAC
Vidua chalybeata is the source of this 239-nucleotide long non-coding RNA. RefSeq lists it as uncharacterized. NCBI's taxonomy places the organism in Eukaryota, Metazoa, Chordata, Aves, Passeriformes, Viduidae. The record is from RefSeq and is a predicted model, not a curated record. The transcript has 3 exons.